GCCCCGUUGCGGCGUGCUAUACAUGCAAGUCGAACGAACUCUGGUAUUGAUUGGUGCUUGCAUCAUGAUUUACAUUUGAGUGAGUGGCGAACUGGUGAGUAACACGUGGGAAACCUGCCCAGAAGCGGGGGAUAACACCUGGAAACAGAUGCUAAUACCGCAUAACAACUUGGACCGCAUGGUCCGAGUUUGAAAGAUGGCUUCGGCUAUCACUUUUGGAUGGUCCCGCGGCGUAUUAGCUAGAUGGUGGGGUAACGGCUCACCAUGGCAAUGAUACGUAGCCGACCUGAGAGGGUAAUCGGCCACAUUGGGACUGAGACACGGCCCAAACUCCUACGGGAGGCAGCAGUAGGGAAUCUUCCACAAUGGACGAAAGUCUGAUGGAGCAACGCCGCGUGAGUGAAGAAGGGUUUCGGCUCGUAAAACUCUGUUGUUAAAGAAGAACAUAUCUGAGAGUAACUGUUCAGGUAUUGACGGUAUUUAACCAGAAAGCCACGGCUAACUACGUGCCAGCAGCCGCGGUAAUACGUAGGUGGCAAGCGUUGUCCGGAUUUAUUGGGCGUAAAGCGAGCGCAGGCGGUUUUUUAAGUCUGAUGUGAAAGCCUUCGGCUCAACCGAAGAAGUGCAUCGGAAACUGGGAAACUUGAGUGCAGAAGAGGACAGUGGAACUCCAUGUGUAGCGGUGAAAUGCGUAGAUAUAUGGAAGAACACCAGUGGCGAAGGCGGCUGUCUGGUCUGUAACUGACGCUGAGGCUCGAAAGUAUGGGUAGCAAACAGGAUUAGAUACCCUGGUAGUCCAUACCGUAAACGAUGAAUGCUAAGUGUUGGAGGGUUUCCGCCCUUCAGUGCUGCAGCUAACGCAUUAAGCAUUCCGCCUGGGGAGUACGGCCGCAAGGCUGAAACUCAAAGGAAUUGACGGGGGCCCGCACAAGCGGUGGAGCAUGUGGUUUAAUUCGAAGCUACGCGAAGAACCUUACCAGGUCUUGACAUACUAUGCAAAUCUAAGAGAUUAGACGUUCCCUUCGGGGACAUGGAUACAGGUGGUGCAUGGUUGUCGUCAGCUCGUGUCGUGAGAUGUUGGGUUAAGUCCCGCAACGAGCGCAACCCUUAUUAUCAGUUGCCAGCAUUAAGUUGGGCACUCUGGUGAGACUGCCGGUGACAAACCGGAGGAAGGUGGGGAUGACGUCAAAUCAUCAUGCCCCUUAUGACCUGGGCUACACACGUGCUACAAUGGAUGGUACAACGAGUUGCGAACUCGCGAGAGUAAGCUAAUCUCUUAAAGCCAUUCUCAGUUCGGAUUGUAGGCUGCAACUCGCCUACAUGAAGUCGGAAUCGCUAGUAAUCGCGGAUCAGCAUGCCGCGGUGAAUACGUUCCCGGGCCUUGUACACACCGCCCGUCACACCAUGAGAGUUUGUAACACCCAAAGUCGGUGGGGUAACCUUUUAGGAACCAGCCGCCUAAGGUGAACAAGGAAUGG
This 1478-nucleotide ribosomal RNA is filed under the name Lactiplantibacillus plantarum. Its description in RNAcentral is "bacterial SSU rRNA". It matches the Rfam family "Bacterial small subunit ribosomal RNA". Lineage: Bacteria; Bacillati; Bacillota; Bacilli; Lactobacillales; Lactobacillaceae. The record is from RNAcentral.